Molecule: long non-coding RNA, 1055 nt
Filed under: Marmota monax (woodchuck)
Lineage: Eukaryota; Metazoa; Chordata; Mammalia; Rodentia; Sciuridae
Source: RNAcentral
CUUGGGUAAAGAUUCUAAAGGUAAAGAAGACUUGACCAUUUAUUUUAUUUUUCCUCCCUGUGCUGCAGCCAGCCAUUUAUGUCUCUCAAGCUGCUAGGAUUUAAAAGCCACAUUUUUUUCUCUCCAUCCUAAACCAGACUCCUGUGGAAAUUUGCAAGCAUCCCAGGGCUCCACAAUUUACAUUUUAAUGCAAGACUUGGUGAGAUAGAUCUGGCAUAAACUAAGUAAAGGAAACUGUUGUUUUGAGGGCAUUUUUGAACUAUUUUUAUUUCCUCAGUUGGUAAUCAAGCCAAGUUUGAAAGCAGAAAAUCAUGAGACAUCCUCUCCCAUUACUUUUGAGGAUGAGACUUCCCUCUGAACACAUGAAAACAAAAAACACAGGGAAAGAGAACAGAUCCCAUAAGUGCCUACACUGAGCAACUGUCUCUUUGGCUGAGCAACUGUCUCUUUGGCUAGGGGAUGUCCCUGUGAUAUCAGAGCCUGUAUUCCUGGAGCCUCUUUACCCAUCCUUCCAUGUGUGACCUCUGGAUUUAACUGACACCUUACCAGUUUGGUCAUGACCCCUGUGCUUUUUCAUGGGUGGCCAUGAAAAAGAUGCAAGCCUCGGGACUAUCCACCUUUACUGAAUGUGAAGGUUAUGAAAAUAACAUUCCCCAAGACAGCCCAGGAAGAAAGGAGGACAGUGUGGCCCUGGAGGAAGGAGAGAAGAAAAAGGCAAACAUUCAUCCCUUUCCAGUGACAAUGGGACUUGAAGGGAGGAGGCAGAUACUAAGCGCUGGGCCAUGGACCCUGGACUUUCACUGUUCUCACUGCUGAUGAGUCCUGGAAGGAGAAAAGCAAAUAAUGAAGUUCUGGGUACAAUGGACCCUGGAGGAAGAAGAUAACCAAUGAGCACUGGGCUCUGAGCUUUCAUCCCUUCCCAGUAACAAUCAGUUUCAGACUUUUCACAACCUUUUUCCAACUGCCUAAACCAACAGGUUCUGCUUCAGUCUCCAGUGAUUAAGCCACCCUUAUUGUAAACUAUAAAACACAGACUCUUUCUGUAACCAGCAGCC